ACGAACGCUGGCGGCGUGCUUAACACAUGCAAGUCGAGCGGUAAGGCCUUUCGGGGUACACGAGCGGCGAACGGGUGAGUAACACGUGGGUGAUCUGCCCUGCACUCUGGGAUAAGCUUGGGAAACUGGGUCUAAUACCGGAUAUGACCGCAUGCCGCAUGGUGUGUGGUGGAAAGAUUUAUCGCCGAUGGAUGAACCCGCGUCCGAUUAGCUUGUUGGUGAGGUAAUGGCUCACCAAGGCUUCGAUCGGUAGCUGGUCUGAGAGGAUGACCAGCCACACUGGGACUGAGACACGGCCCAGACUCCUACGGGAGGCAGCAGUGGGGAAUAUUGGACAAUGGGCGCAAGCCUGAUCCAGCAAUGCCGCGUGAAUGAUGAAGGCCUUAGGGUUGUAAAGUUCUUUCGCUCGUGACGAUGAUGACGGUAACGAGAGAAGAAGCCCCGGCUAACUUCGU
This 455-nucleotide ribosomal RNA is filed under the name uncultured bacterium. RNAcentral describes it as "bacterial SSU rRNA". It matches the Rfam family "Bacterial small subunit ribosomal RNA", at positions 29 to 506 of the family's 1533-position model. The record is from RNAcentral.